UUGGAGGGCAAGUCUGGUGCCAGCAGCCGCGGUAAUUCCAGCUCCAAUAGCGUAUAUUAAAGUUGUUGCAGUUAAAAAGCUCGUAGUUGAAUUUCGGGAUUGGCGCAUCGGUCGUGCCUCACGGGGUAUGAACUGGUGCAGUCAAUUUCUCACCUUCUGGAGAACCGCGAUGUCCUUAAUUGGAUGCCGCGGGGAACCAGGACCUUUACUUUGAAAAAAUUAGAGUGUUUAAAGCAGGCAUUUUUGCUUGAAUACAUUAGCAUGGAAUAAUAAAAUAGGACGGCAUGGUUCUAUUUUGUUGGUUUCUAGGACCACCGUAAUGAUUAAUAGGGAUAGUUGGGGGCAUUAGUAUUCAAUUGUCAGAGGUGAAAUUCUUGGAUUUAUUGAAGACUAACUACUGCGAAAGCAUUUGCCAAGGAUGUUUUCAUUAAUCAAGAACGAAAGUCAGGGGAUCGAAGACGAUCAGAUACCGUCGUAGUCUUAACCAUAAACUAUGCCGACUAGGAAUCAGACGAUGUUAAUUUUUUAAUGACUCGUUUGGCACCUACGGGAAACCAAAGUGUUUGGGUUC
This 571-nucleotide ribosomal RNA is filed under the name uncultured Glomeromycotina. RNAcentral describes it as "SSU rRNA". It matches the Rfam family "Eukaryotic small subunit ribosomal RNA", at positions 548 to 1114 of the family's 1831-position model. The record is from RNAcentral. Lineage: Eukaryota; Fungi; Glomeromycota.